Molecule: ribosomal RNA, 622 nt
Filed under: Paradendryphiella salina
Lineage: Eukaryota; Fungi; Ascomycota; Dothideomycetes; Pleosporales; Pleosporaceae
Description: eukaryotic LSU rRNA
Rfam family: 5.8S ribosomal RNA (bases 267-420)
Source: RNAcentral
CAGGUCUUGGUCAUGUAGAGGUCUUGGUCAUUAGAGGAAGUAAAAGUCGUAACAAGGUCUCCGUAGGUGAACCUGCGGAGGGAUCAUUACACAAUAUGAAAGCGGGUUGGGACCUCAUCUCGGUGGGGGCUCCAGCUUGUCUGAAUUAUUCACCCAUGUCUUUUGCGCACUUCUUGUUUCCUGGGCGGGUUCGCCCGCCACCAGGACCCAACCAUAAACCUUUUUUUGUAAUUGCAAUCAGCGUCAGUAAACAAUGUAAUUAUUACAACUUUCAACAACGGAUCUCUUGGUUCUGGCAUCGAUGAAGAACGCAGCGAAAUGCGAUACGUAGUGUGAAUUGCAGAAUUCAGUGAAUCAUCGAAUCUUUGAACGCACAUUGCGCCCUUUGGUAUUCCAAAGGGCAUGCCUGUUCGAGCGUCAUUUGUACCCUCAAGCUUUGCUUGGUGUUGGGCGUCUUUGUCUCUCACGAGACUCGCCUUAAAAUGAUUGGCAGCCGGCCUACUGGUUUCGGAGCGCAGCACAAUCUUGCACUUCUGAUCAGCCAUGGUUGAGCAUCCAUCAAGACCACAUUUUUCUCACUUUUGACCUCGGAUCAGGUAGGGAUACCCGCUGAACUUAAGCA